RNAcentral lists this ribosomal RNA (693 nucleotides) under uncultured Bacteroidales bacterium. Its description in RNAcentral is "bacterial SSU rRNA". It matches the Rfam family "Bacterial small subunit ribosomal RNA", at positions 51 to 735 of the family's 1533-position model. Lineage: Bacteria; Pseudomonadati; Bacteroidota; Bacteroidia; Bacteroidales. The record is from RNAcentral.
ACACAUGCAAGUCGAGGGGCAGCAUGAACUUAGCUUGCUAAGUUUGAUGGCGACCGGCGCACGGGUGAGUAACACGUAUCCAACCUGCCGAUGACUCGAGGAUAGCCUUUCGAAAGAAAGAUUAAUACCCGAUGGCAUAGUUCUUCCGCAUGGUGGAACUAUUAAAGGAUUUCGGUCAUCGAUGGGGAUGCGUUCCAUUAGGUUGUUGGCGGGGUAACGGCCCACCAAGCCUUCGAUGGAUAGGGGUUCUGAGAGGAAGGUCCCCCACAUUGGAACUGAGACACGGUCCAAACUCCUACGGGAGGCAGCAGUGAGGAAUAUUGGUCAAUGGACGAGAGUCUGAACCAGCCAAGUAGCGUGAAGGAUGACUGCCCUAUGGGUUGUAAACUUCUUUUAUACGGGAAUAAAGUGAGGCACGUGUGCCUUUUUGUAUGUACCGUAUGAAUAAGGAUCGGCUAACUCCGUGCCAGCAGCCGCGGUAAUACGGAGGAUCCGAGCGUUAUCCGGAUUUAUUGGGUUUAAAGGGAGCGUAGGCGGACGCUUAAGUCAGUUGUGAAAGUUUGCGGCUCAACCGUAAAAUUGCAGUUGAUACUGGGUGUCUUGAGUACAGUAGAGGCAGGCGGAAUUCGUGGUGUAGCGGUGAAAUGCUUAGAUAUCACGAAGACUCCGAUCGCGAAGGCAGCCUGCUGGACU